Molecule: ribosomal RNA, 650 nt
Filed under: Cortinarius badiovinaceus
Lineage: Eukaryota; Fungi; Basidiomycota; Agaricomycetes; Agaricales; Cortinariaceae
Description: eukaryotic LSU rRNA
Rfam family: Eukaryotic large subunit ribosomal RNA
Source: RNAcentral
GUGACCUCAAAUCAGGUAGGACUACCCGCUGAACUUAAGCAUAUCAAUAAGCGGAGGAAAAGAAACUAACAAGGAUUCCCCUAGUAACUGCGAGUGAAGCGGGAAAAGCUCAAAUUUAAAAUCUGGCAGUCUUUUGGCUGUCCGAGUUGUAAUCUAGAGAAGUGUUAUCCGCGCUGGACCGUGUACAAGUCUCCUGGAAUGGAGCAUCAUAGAGGGUGAGAAUCCCGUCUUUGACAUGGACUGCCAGGGCUUUUGUGAUGCGCUCUCAAAGAGUCGAGUUGUUUGGGAAUGCAGCUCAAAAUGGGUGGUAAAUUCCAUCUAAAGCUAAAUAUUGGCGAGAGACCGAUAGCGAACAAGUACCGUGAGGGAAAGAUGAAAAGAACUUUGGAAAGAGAGUUAAACAGUACGUGAAAUUGCUGAAAGGGAAACGCUUGAAGUCAGUCGCGUCGUCCAGGGAUCAACCUCGCUUUUGCUUGGUGCACUUUCUGGUUUGACGGGUCAGCAUCAAUUUUGACCGUUGGAAAAAGGUCAAGGGAAUGUGGCAUCUUUGGAUGUGUUUAUAGCCCUUGGUCACAUACAAUGGUUUGGGAUUGAGGAACUCAGCACGCCGCAAGGCCGGGUGUCAUACCACGUACGUGCUAGGAUGCUGA